AUGUCGCUUUCUAUACAUAACGCUUCUCCGGGGAAUAGCCUAUCACGGGCCUGCCCGGCCGCGUGUGGAGCACUCAUCGCUGCCAAGGACCUUCACCCGUUCUGCGUGGUUUGCUUGGGCCUUAAACACGCUCAAGAAGCCUUGGAGAACGCGGAAAAUUGCAGUCAUUGCCUUAUGCUGCCCAAAAAUGUUUUACGACGCCGUCUUAAGGUUGCAGCGACCCAGUGCUCCGAGCUCGGUUUUACUGACUCAGAUCUGGGACACGGUGACGACGACGCGCUACCGGGGGACUCCCGGGGCGCCUCCUCACUUGUUUGGGCUGACCAGCCCAAUCCCGCAUUCCCCGAAGAGGACAUCUUCGCGGGCAACCUCAUGCUCGCCGACGAACCGGCCGGUUCCGGCGAUGAGGAUGAUGCAACCCUUCUCGGGGUCUCAGAGGACGAGGAUGCCAUCCCGCCCUCCGGCGUUCCCCAGGCUAGCGGCCACGCAGCCCUGCCUCAGUCCAUCCUCCUGGAAGUGUGUGAGCGAGCGGCCGCUCGCCUCAACAUUGAGUGGCCGGCUCCACAGAGCGCCACCGACCAGGAGAGGGAUAUUUACGACGGAAAAGUGUUGGGAUCUCCUCCCGGUCCGGGGAAACAACUCUUCCCCGUCCUUCCAGCGUGCGCUAAGCAUAUGAGGCACAACUGGAGCGAACCGCUCGACUUCAAACACGGCCUUUCGGGCCUUGAAGUAAAAGAUAUGGCUUCUCAUGGUAUGGGUGACCCCCCCGCUAUCGAGCCGUCCAUCGCCAGGCACCUUAACCCCGCUCAGGGCGGGCUGCUCGCUCCCCCUAAGCCGGUCUUGCCCAACAAGCUGGACCGUUUUUCUGCCUCAGUUCACCAGGCCGCAUACAAGUCCUCGGCCUUGGCAGUCAGGGCCCUGAACGUCUCGUCUCUCCUCUCCGCUUACCAGGCGGAGAUUUUGGACGAAUUAGGGCAACAGCUAAAAAAGCGAACUCCUUCUCUACACUUGUGGAAGGAGAUCCUCACGGUGAACGACCUCGUCCUUCGUAAUGCUCGCCAGGCCGUCCAAGCCUGCGGGCGCUCUAUGGCGCUUUCUGUGGUGGGAGAGCGCGCGCUCUGGCUUAACCUGUCAGGCCUUCCUGACAGUGAGAAGCGGCGCAUCGCGGGCGCGUCGAUGGAGCCCGAUCGGGCUCUGUUCGGCCCCGCCGUCGCAUUGAUGCAACAACGGUGUGACGACAAAAAGGAGGACGAGGCAUUCAAGUUAUGUCUUCCUAAGGGGAAAAAUCGACUCCCGCCGCGGCCGCGGCUGGAGGACCAUCUAACCCUAACCCCAUCGACUCGAAACGUAAGCGGCCUGCCUGAUGUUCGAUUGAUGGAGGCAUCGAGUCCGCGUUCAUGGGCCACGAGCCCUUCGGACUCUCUCCCUGUCCCAGGACCCCCGUUCAAAAGACGCAGGGUCUCCCGCGGAUGGAUCGAUUCCUCUUCGUUCGAGGCUGCCCAGCCCAUGUGUUUAAUGAACGGUGUGUGUUCCCCCCUCACGUUCAGGGGGUCUGUUGUGAGGAAAAGUGCAAAAGCAGUGUCACCACACCGCAUACACUCUGUUCCCCUCACCCAACCAAUAAAGGCUUCGGCCCCAGUGUUUCCCCAACACAAAACACACAGAAAAACAAAAAACACAUUAAAACAAACGAAUCAAAUGAAUUCGUUAUGGAGAGAGGAUCUCUCUCCGCAGAGAGAGCAAAUCUGUCUGAACCCCUGCAUGUUGCCCCUGGUGUGUCCACUAGAUAGCUCCAUUGCAUCACAAAUAAACCAGCUGGGCUUACACAGCCCCGCUGCAGCUCGGGUGGGAACACUUUCAAAUCACGAAUGGGCUUGGCGAACUGUUUCGGCUCCCGAGUGGGUGAUGCGUACUAUAAUGCAGGGAUACAGACUGCAGUUUUCAAUGAAACCCCCGCAUUUCAACGGCGUUCUCUCUUCACACACAGAAGAGAACGCCUCACACAUUCUGAAAGAGGAAAUAUCCUCCCUCCUAAACAAGGGAGCGAUUCAGAUGGUGCCCCCCACUCUGAUGAAUCAGGGAUUUUAUUCUCGUUAUUUCCUGGUCCCAAAAAAGGACGGCGCUCUCCGCCCUAUUCUGGACCUUCGUGUGUUAAACAAACAUUUGAGGAAAUACAAUUUCAGAAUGCUGACUCAUGGCUCGCUCGCCCGUGCCAUAAAACAGAACGACUGGUUCACAUCGGUCGACCUGAAAGAUGCUUUCUUCCAUAUAAGCAUUUAUCCGCCACACAGGAAGUUUCUUCGUUUCGCCUACCAAGGCACAUGUUACGAAUUCACAGUUCUGCCGUUUGGGCUCAGUCUAAGCCCCCGGUGUUUCUGUCUGUGUGCGGAGGCGGGUUUAGCACCCAUGAGAAUGUCAGGUCUGAGGAUUCUGACAUACAUAGACGAUUGGCUAAUCAUAGCCGAAUCGAAAGAUAAAGUGUUGCAGGACACCUGCCGUGUGCUCACGCACAUCACAUCUCUCGGGUUCAGAGUGAAUGUGGGCAAGAGCAAUUUUACACCCAGUCAGAAUGUCAUUUUCCUGGGUUUGGAGUUGAACUCAGUCUCCAUGCGAGUGCGUCUCUCUCAAGAGCGCGUUCUCUCUCUAAUGAACUGUCUGUCGCAGUUCAGAGAGGGGGCGAAAGUACAAUAUCGCACAUGCCUCAGGCUGCAGGGUCUUAUGGCUUCAUCAAUCCAGGUUGUACCGCUGGGACUCCUGAGAAUGAGAGCGUUCAUGAAAUGGGUUUUGUUACUACAUUUCAGCCCGACGCGCGAUCUUUGCCGCUCUGUAAUAGUGACGCGCGCCUGCUCGGCAGCCUUGCGCCACUGGAAGAGCGCAGACUUUUACGCACAUGGAACCCCUCUGGGGACAGUUAUGAUGCGGAAAGUUGUGACGACAGAUGCGUCCUUAACAGGCUGGGGCGCCACCCAGGAGGGCAGAACGGUGAACGGUCUGUGGCCGAGCAGACUACGUUCAGCGCACAUAAAUUAUUUAGAGCUUAUGGCCGUAUGGAAAGCUCUGAAUUAUUUUCUGCCUCGCCUGCAGGGACAUCAUGUGCUCGUACGCUGCGACAAUACCACGACAGUGGCUUAUAUCAACCGUCAGGGCGGCGUGCGCUCGUCGAAACUUCACGCUCUAGCUUACAAGCUUCUAGUGUGGAGCGCACAGGUUUUCCUGUCGUUACGCGCGACUCAUGUUCCCGGCCUUCUAAACAGAGGCGCGGAUCUUCUAUCAAGGGGAAACCCAAUCUACGGAGAUUGGCGCCUUCACCCGCAGAUAGUGGAUAUGUUAUGGAUGAGAUUUGGACAGGCAACCGUAGAUCUAUUCGCCUCGCGCGAAAACUACCAUUGUCCUAUGUUCUUCUCGCUAAAGGACGUGGACGCACCCCUCGGGGUAGAUGCACUGGCCCACCCGUGGCCCAGAGUGCUGCUGUAUGCCUUUCCUCCCCUGUGCCUGAUAAUUCCUACACUGGCCAGGGUGAGAGAGCAGGGCCUGUCUCUCAUUCUGAUAGCACCCAGGUGGCCCAAAGCACCAUGGCUGGCGGAGAUAAUCCCUCUGUUAUAUGCCGAGCCGUGGCGCCUCCCCCCCCGCACAGAUCUUUUGUCCCAAGCGAACGGGGAGAUUUAUCACCCACACCCGGACAGGGUGGCUCUUUGGGCGUGGCCCGUGAGAGGACGAACCUAA
RNAcentral lists this long non-coding RNA (3723 nucleotides) under Carassius auratus (goldfish). Its description in RNAcentral is "lncRNA (ENSCARG00000034751.1)". Lineage: Eukaryota; Metazoa; Chordata; Actinopteri; Cypriniformes; Cyprinidae. The record is from RNAcentral.